UGGGGAAUAUUGCACAAUGGGCGCAAGCCUGAUGCAGCCAUGCCGCGUGUAUGAAGAAGGCCUUCGGGUUGUAAAGUACUUUCAGCGGGGAGGAAGGUGUUGAGGUUAAUAACCUCAGCAAUUGACGUUACCCGCAGAAGAAGCACCGGCUAACUCCGUGCCAGCAGCCGCGGUAAUACGGAGGGUGCAAGCGUUAAUCGGAAUUAUUGGGCGUAAAGCGCACGCAGGCGGUCUGUCAAGUCGGAUGUGAAAUCCCCGGGCUCAACCUGGGAACUGCAUUCGAAACUGGCAGGCUAGAGUCUUGUAGAGGGGGGUAGAAUUCCAGGUGUAGCGGUGAAAUGCGUAGAGAUCUGGAGGAAUACCGGUGGCGAAGGCGGCCCCCUGGACAAAGACUGAAGCUCAGGUGCGAAAGCGUGGGGAGCAAACA
Molecule: ribosomal RNA, 427 nt
Filed under: uncultured bacterium
Lineage: Bacteria
Description: partial 16S ribosomal RNA
Rfam family: Bacterial small subunit ribosomal RNA
Source: RNAcentral